GGCGGCGUAGCUCAGAGGCAGAGCAAGCGGUUCAUACCCGCUGUGUCAGUGGUUCAAAUCCACUCGCCGCUACCC
Molecule: transfer RNA, 75 nt
Filed under: Thermodesulfobium narugense
Lineage: Bacteria; Pseudomonadati; Thermodesulfobiota; Thermodesulfobiia; Thermodesulfobiales; Thermodesulfobiaceae
Description: tRNA-Met
Rfam family: tRNA
About the family: Transfer RNA (tRNA) molecules are approximately 80 nucleotides in length. Their secondary structure includes four short double-helical elements and three loops (D, anti-codon, and T loops). Further hydrogen bonds mediate the characteristic L-shaped molecular structure. tRNAs have two regions of fundamental functional importance: the anti-codon, which is responsible for specific mRNA codon recognition, and the 3' end, to which the tRNAs corresponding amino acid is attached (by aminoacyl-tRNA synthetases). tRNAs cope with the degeneracy of the genetic code in two manners: having more than one tRNA (with a specific anti-codon) for a particular amino acid; and 'wobble' base-pairing, i.e. permitting non-standard base-pairing at the 3rd anti-codon position.
Source: RNAcentral